Molecule: ribosomal RNA, 253 nt
Filed under: uncultured bacterium
Lineage: Bacteria
Description: partial 16S ribosomal RNA
Rfam family: Bacterial small subunit ribosomal RNA
Source: RNAcentral
UACGGAGGGUGCGAGCGUUGUUCGGAAUCACUGGGCGUAAAGGGCGUGUAGGCGGUCCGCUAAGUCUGAUGUGAAAGCCCGGGGCUCACCCCCGGAAGUGCAUUGGAAACUGGCGGACUCGAGUCCCGGAGAGGAGAGUGGAAUUCCUGGUGUAGCGGUGAAAUGCGUAGAUAUCAGGAGGAACACCAAUGGCGAAGGCAGCUCUCUGGUACAUGACUGACACUGAGACGCGAAAGCGUGGGGAGCGAACAGG